Gadus morhua (Atlantic cod) is the source of this 455-nucleotide long non-coding RNA. RefSeq lists it as uncharacterized. NCBI's taxonomy places the organism in Eukaryota, Metazoa, Chordata, Actinopteri, Gadiformes, Gadidae. The record is from RefSeq and is a predicted model, not a curated record. The transcript is spliced from 2 exons.
ACGCAUCCGUGACUCAAACAGCCUCAAAUCCACGGCUAGCACACUUCUGCUCCCUGAGUUACACGCUCCAUCUACAGCUAUAAAUCUAAACCGCUGCUGUCCCUACUCGGUCAACGUGUUUGAUGGCGUGUACGAGAAAGUCCCGGGGGGGCCCGGAGCUCACCUUGGCCUCGGUGUGGGGUCUGGCCGGUCGGCAGAGGACCUGGUAGUAGUCCACCACCCCCUCCACGCUCCACAGCAGGGUGAAGGACGAGUGGGUGGUGUUGACGGCGUACAGGGACCGCGGCGGCGCCGGCUCUGGAGGGAGAAGACGGCGGAACGUUAGGAACGUUCAGCGGGAGACGCUUGUACCCACUGUGUCUUACUGAGGCUGAGAGCGUUCAGGAGCAUCUGAUCAAAGCUGGAGAGACGAGACGCAGUGGAACACGACUGCGUUCCCAAACGCUACUGGGAAA